GACGAACGCUGGCGGCGUGCCUAAUACAUGCAAGUCGAGCGGACGAAUCGAAAGCUUGCUUUUGAUUCGUUAGCGGCGGACGGGUGAGUAACACGUGGGCAACCUGCCCUGUAGACGGGGAUAACACCGAGAAAUCGGUGCUAAUACCGGAUAACACGAAAUGUCGCAUGACGUUUUGUUGAAAGACGGUGCAAGCUGUCGCUACAGGAUGAGCCCGCGGGGCAUUAGCUAGUUGGUGGGUUAACGGCUCACCAAGGCGACGAUGCGUAGCCGACCUGAGAGGGUGAUCGGCCACACUGGGACUGGAAAACGGCCCAGACUCCUACGGGAGGCAGCAGUAGGGAAUCUUCCGCAAUGGACGAAAGUCUGACGGAGCACCGCCGCGUGAGCGAAGAAGGCCUUCGGGUCUUAAAGCUCUUUUGUUAGGGAAGAACAAGUAACGCAGUAACUGGCGUUACCGUGACGGUACCUAACGAGAAAGCCACGGCUAACUACGUG
This 498-nucleotide ribosomal RNA is filed under the name uncultured bacterium. RNAcentral describes it as "partial 16S ribosomal RNA". It matches the Rfam family "Bacterial small subunit ribosomal RNA", at positions 28 to 507 of the family's 1533-position model. The record is from RNAcentral.